Molecule: long non-coding RNA, 533 nt
Filed under: Olea europaea subsp. europaea
Lineage: Eukaryota; Viridiplantae; Streptophyta; Magnoliopsida; Lamiales; Oleaceae
Source: RNAcentral
CUCGUAAACAUCCUCAAACAAAAAUGCAAAACCAUAAAAGGAAUCCAACAAGUUCAUGCCCAAGCCAUUUCAAGAGGCCUCCUUUCGCUCCACCCCACUCCCCUCUUCACUCAAAUCCUCCAUUCAUGCACUUCUUUACAAAUUUCAUCCAUUCAAUACAUCUCGAAAGUUUUCAAUCUCAUUCCCAAUCCUUCAACUUUCCAUUAUAAUAUCAUGAUCCGGGCAUGUUCUAUACUCUUUACCCCACACACUGGCUUGAUGUUUUUCAUCAAAAUGCGCCAAGAAUCAAUCCCACUUGAUUUUCAUACUUACCCUUUUGUUAUAAAAGCUUGUGGUUGUUUGCAGAAUGGGCUUUCACUUGCCAAAACCAUUCAUUCUGAAGCAGUUAAAUAUGGGUUCUCGGAUGAUGUUUUUGUAUGCAAUUCACUUGCAUGUAUAUACUGUAAAAAUGGGGAAAUUGAGCUUGCAUACAAACUCUUCGAUGAAAGUUUGUAUAGAGAUGUGGUUACUUAUAAUGUGAUGAUUGACGGGUU